CAAAAGGAUUUUUUAAAAUUCACCCUCUGUUCUCUGAAUUAUUUGU
Myotis brandtii (Brandt's bat) is the source of this 46-nucleotide non-coding RNA. Lineage: Eukaryota; Metazoa; Chordata; Mammalia; Chiroptera; Vespertilionidae. The record is from Rfam.